UACGGGGGGGGCAAGCGUUGUUCGGAAUUACUGGGCGUAAAGGGCUCGUAGGCGGCCAACUAAGUCAGACGUGAAAUCCCUCGGCUUAACCGGGGAACUGCGUCUGAUACUGGAUGGCUUGAGGUUGGGAGAGGGAUGCGGAAUUCCAGGUGUAGCGGUGAAAUGCGUAGAUAUCUGGAGGAACACCGGUGGCGAAGGCGGCAUCCUGGACCGGCAUUGACGCUGAGGCGCGAAGGCCAGGGGAGCAAACGGG
Molecule: ribosomal RNA, 253 nt
Filed under: uncultured bacterium
Lineage: Bacteria
Description: partial 16S ribosomal RNA
Rfam family: Bacterial small subunit ribosomal RNA
Source: RNAcentral